GUAGGGAAUCUUCCGCAAUGGACGCAAGUCUGACGGAGCAACGCCGCGUGAGUGACGAAGGUUUUCGGAUCGUAAAACUCUGUUGUGAGGGAAGAACACGUACCAACUAACUAUUGGUACCUUGACGGUACCUCACCAGAAAGCCACGGCUAACUACGUGCCAGCAGCCGCGGUAAUACGUAGGUGGCAAGCGUUGUCCGGAAUUAUUGGGCGUAAAGCGCGCGCAGACGGCUCCUUAAGUCUGAUGUGAAAGCCCACGGCUCAACCGUGGAGGGUCAUUGGAAACUGGGGAACUUGAGUGCAGAAGAGGAAAGUGGAAUUCCACGUGUAGCGGUGAAAUGCGUAGAGAUGUGGAGGAACACCAGUGGCGAAGGCGACUUUCUGGUCUGUAACUGACGCUGAGGCGCGAAAGCGUGGGGAGCAAACAGGAUUAGAUACCCCGGUAGUCC
RNAcentral lists this ribosomal RNA (449 nucleotides) under uncultured bacterium. RNAcentral describes it as "partial 16S ribosomal RNA". It matches the Rfam family "Bacterial small subunit ribosomal RNA", at positions 354 to 796 of the family's 1533-position model. The record is from RNAcentral.